This 1312-nucleotide long non-coding RNA is filed under the name Panax ginseng (ginseng). Its description in RNAcentral is "long non-coding RNA (PGIN_LNC016214)". Lineage: Eukaryota; Viridiplantae; Streptophyta; Magnoliopsida; Apiales; Araliaceae. The record is from RNAcentral.
UCCUUUCGCAUGUUGAUCCAGAGGAUUUAUUUGAGAAACUCUUUUUGUUGAUGAAGUCGCAAGUGAGUAAUAUCCAAAUCACUAGUGAGAUGAUGUGAGGGAAGCUCUGAUGAUGAUGUACCAUGCUGAUGGUGAUGACUGGUGCAUUUUCCUCUUUAAGAUGGUUGAUAAAUUCCCCAGUGUUGAGUUGUCGCUGUUUUUGAGAUUACCCCAAUUUUGUUGUAAGGGAUACAAUAUCGGUUUGUCGCCAAUUUUGAAAUUUCCCCAGAUUUGCUUGUUUUCUGGGAUAGUUGCUUUGAUAGAUGGGCUGAUAAGACACUGAGAUCGCGAUAGGCUUUUACCUCUGUACCAUAUGGUGAACAGGUAGUGGAUGUGGGCUUUGAUGUUGACAACUCUUUCUGGUAGAGAUUCUAAUUUUAGUUGAGAGAUGAUGCCCUAACUCAUAGGGAUACCGUUGUUGCUGAGCGGGAUGAGGCCAUAUCAUCUAGAGAUGCAGUGAUUAUUGAGCGGGAUAAUGCUAUAUCUGCCCGAGAUAUCGAUUGAUGAGCUUAGUGUCACCAUGUAGUUGGUUGUGGAUUUGUUAGCUCGUGUAGAGACCAUUGGGCAGGAGAUCACAGUGUUACCCCCUUCUUCUGAGAGGGAAGCCCUAUUGGACUUGAUAGCCCGCAUAUACACUGACUUGUAGAUGGGCUUGUAUUUCCCUGCACAUACUAGCUUAGCCAUUUUGUCAUGUACAGUACACAUUGUAUAUAUCAAACAACAUUAUAUAUAGAAGGGAAAUAUAUGUUGAUUCAAUUAUCUUUUAGUUGUGCCUUGUUACUUGCUUGAUAUUUGCUUGUUUCUCCAGGGCUUGUGAUCUUGAUGUAUUCUGAACUUCUCCUUGAUGGAUGGACAUUGAGAUGUCUCAAGAUCUUUCAGAAUGGAUUGUUGAUCUAUGUGUAUUCCCUACCAUCUUUGGUGUCUUAGGACUGGUUUUUGUAUGUGGUUAUGGAUAGGAGUGUGUUUGUUUUGUUUUUCUAUGGUGAGACUGGACCAUACAAAUGGCUGCCUAUGUACUCCCGUGUAUUGGGGAGAUCAGGUUUGCGUAGUUCGCCCCUUGUUCAGGAUGGUUUGUAGCCAAUGAAAAGUUUGAUCCCAUGUUCAGGACAAAUUGCGGGGGAGAAAGUUUAAUCCCAUGUAUAGGACAAACUGCAGGUGUGAAAAAUCUUAUCCCUAGUGGGGUAAAAUUGCGGGUGUGAAAGGUUCAAUCCCUGGUGGGAUAACCAGAGUUGAGUAAGGGUUCAAAACCAAGUUGAGAGAAGGAUCUGGCGAC